Chlorocebus sabaeus (green monkey) is the source of this 3503-nucleotide non-coding RNA. Lineage: Eukaryota; Metazoa; Chordata; Mammalia; Primates; Cercopithecidae. The record is from RefSeq and is a predicted model, not a curated record.
UCUCCUGUUAAUAAAACACUGGAAAACUAAUUGUCAAUAUGUGCCGUUUGAUGCAUAAUCCUUCAAAAUACCUGAUCCAUUGAAAAUGAGUUAAGAAGGACACUAGGAGGUGAACACACUGUUUAUCACUGGCUCCUAUCAGGACUAUUGUGAUAUGUGGAAGGGUAAAACCAACCACAUCACCUUUUCUUUAAGACUGUCAAGAGGCAGUCACAAUCAGAAACAUUUUCUCUUGAUUUUUAACGUAGACAUCAAAGUAUGUAUAGAUCAGUAAUUUCUUUUUCUAUUUCUAUGUGUUUCUUAAAAAUGUAAUUGGAGAGAUGGCAUCCUCUAAGAUUGCAUACUAGUCUGGCAAUUAUUUGUCAUGAGAAAUGUAUUAAGAAUAAUGGAUAACUUUAAGGUCCAUAAAAAAUAUGAGACCUGUUGUAGUCCUAGAAUUCCAGAGCUAAAUUUUCUCAAGUCAAAUUAGUAUUUUGUGUCUGUUUCUUCUUUUGGUGCAGGUGAGGUAUUCUUAUAAAUAUUUGGCUUAGAGCAUUCCACUUAAAAUUUUUAAUCUUUGUAGAUUUAUAGUAUUGCGAUUCCACUGUCAAAAUGAUAGAUACUGAUACGUAUUUUAAGGUAAUCUUAUAUGAUUAUUUUUCAGUGCACUGUAUCAAUCAAUGCCCUGGCAGGUCAUAAAAUGUUACAGCUCAUAAAGAACCAGUAAAUACUCAAUUUUCAAGGUACAGCCGAAGAACUAUAAAUUAAAUUGAUUACAUAACUAUAAAAUAAUUAGUCCAGUAUUUCCAGACAACUUUUUAAAAGAACUUCCCUGCCACAGAUCACUGUUCGAAAAGGAACUGGUCCCUAUUAAGUCUGUCCAGUUUUGGACACUGUGCUUGAGUUUUUUCUUUUACCUUAUAUCCCCGUAGCUCCCCUCUACUUCCUUCCUCAAGGUGAGUUCGUUUCCUCCUUGGGCUUCAACUACCUCCUAUAUAUAGGAGUUUCUAAAUUUAUGUCUCCUCCCCAGACGUUUCUUCCAAUACAUAGAUUCAAUGCCUCCAUGCCUAUUAGGUAUGUCUUGGAUGGGACUUUCCCACAAGCAGACCUUGAAACAAAGGUUUGAGUGCAAGUAUUUAAUUUGGGAAGAUGUCCCAUAGGCCCUGGUAGGGAAGUGAAGAAGUGAUAUAGGAAUCAAGAGUUCAUCAUGAGGCAGAUUUCCACUGGGGGCCACUGAAGUUCACUCCUGAUGGGGAGCUCUGGGAGACAGGACACAAGACACCUUAGAAUUAACCUCCCCCAGAGGGAUCCUCCAGAGGGCUGGGGAGCGGGGUCAUUGAUCCUUCAGCUCCAUCUGUCAUUGCCUGAAGGCUCCUUUUGCAGAUGUUAAAUGGUCACUCUUUCCUUCGGAUGUCCCUCCCACAAGAAGGACCAAAGCCUUCAGGUAGAAAGUCACAGGUGUAUGUACUGACAAGGUGAGGCCAAAGGGAUAUAGGUGAGGACAGGGCACUGCAGUGUCUGAGAGUGACAUUUCCACCUGAGUGUACACAGAUUCAUCAAGUUCCGCAUAUCCAACCCUAGCUCCCCAAACGUGUUUUUCGUCUGUAUCCUGGGGAAUGUGCUACAGUGUACUCCUUGAUCCAGGCAGGAACCCCUCUCCAUCUCCCUACUUCCUCUCAUGGGUAAAAUUCUAUCAUUUCCAUCUAUUCAAAGAUCCUUACUCUGUCCACUUUUUUCUCUCACCACACUGGAAAUCCAUUAUUUUCCCCACAAUUUUCUAUAUUAGCCUCUUGACUGUCUCUCUGCCUUGAGUCACACCAACCUGUAGUAUUUCCUAUAGCCAGAGUGAGGGUUCCAAACUGAAAAUCUGACCAUGUUCAUUCUCUGCUUAAAGUCAUUGAUGAUAGUUCAGGGUACUGCAUGUGAGGCCCUUCAUGGUUUUAUAUCAUCCCAUGUCACUAUUCUCACCUCACCAUAUACUGUGUAUGCCGCCCUGGGUCUUUGCAUAGGCUCUACCUGGUCCUGGCUCAUCACCAUAGCUCACGUGUCACCUCCUGAGGGUGUCCUUUUCUGACUCCUCACCUUCCCCCUCCCAAGCUGUGCAGCUGCCCCAGAUGUGGCCUUGCUUGCUCACAUUUCUUAGCAUACCACAGUGUUAUUGCCUCCUUUGACUAUCUCUUGAACUCGGCUGUUUAAGUUCUCCAAAGGCAGUGACUCUAUAUUCAUCUCAAAUUUUUAGCACCUAGCACAAUACCUGUUCAUAAUAGGUGCUCAAUAAAUAGUUGCUGAAUUAAUUUGUCUAUAUGAGUCUCUUUAAUCUUUAAAACAGUCCUAUAAGAUAGGUAUUACUGGUUUUACAGGCAAAAAUAUUGAGGUCAGAUAGGCCAAACAUCUUGCUCAAGAUCACAAACCUAAUAAAUGAUCAAAUCAGGAUUUCAACUCAAAUCUGUCUCCCAAGUCCAUAUUCUUUCCAUUAAAUCAUGUUAAGUUUUACUUUGUAAUGCUCUAAACAUUUCUUCUAUUUCACUGUUUAUGAAAUUAAAUUGCCUUAAUCUUUUUAUUUUUCUAGAAAUAAAUGUCUUCACAGGUGGCAUCUAGAAAUGCAAUAAAUAUUUAGUCCCCAGGAAUAUGAGCCCUGCAAGGUUUGUGCUACAAACCUUGUAGAGCUUGCUGAGAAGAGCAUAUGAUUGUGUAGUGGAAUUUUUAUGCUUUGGGUUAGAUCAUAGGAAUGAAUAUCCAUGGUUAGUUUGUGAUGCGUCUAAGCUGUGGAAUCUCAAUAAGCAUCCAUCAGUUUGACAGUCAAAAGGAUAUAUAUGAGGGCCUUGGGGGUGGGCAGGGUGAAGCAAUUUGGAAAUAUAAGCAGUAAAUUUUCAUACAUCACUGAUUGUGACAGUGAAAUGAUUAUCCAUCAAUUACAAAGCAGUUAAGUAGAUAUGUUUCUUGGUUUUUACUGCACUAUUUAUGUAUCCGGGUCUCCUGGAAGAGCUGCUCCUGUACCACAGUCCAUGCUGGACAGCCUGCAUCACUUUCAGUGCCUGUUGGAGACACAGAGAGGCUAUUGGAUUUAGGAACAAAUAAAAGGCAAAAAGAAGAGGGACCACCAGUGGCAACUUUCCACCCAAAUUUUUCCAUCAAGAAAUCUUGGAACACGUUCUCCAAUUUAUACCAUUAGCCUUAUUUCAACCCAAAAUAGUGUGUGGUGGCAUGAGAUACUCCUGAAGACUAUCAAGCAUUGUAAAAUCAUUAUCUUCUUCAUCUGAAGACAUCCAGAACAAGCCCUGCUACUGGUAAAUGAGCUUUAAUUUUUGUUUACCAUGAGUCAGCCUGAAAAAUGUCAAAGAACACUCAAUAAAACUUUCCAUGUCCUUUAAUCUUAUCUUCAUUAUCACUUGUGAUGAAGCAAGAGCAUGGUUCCUUCUAGCAAUCUUGCAUUCAAUAAAUACUUACUGAGUUCCCUUUGUGCCAGGAACUUUUGUAGAUGCUGGGGAUACAGCAAUGAACAAAGCAGACAUAAAUGCUUGCCU